This 1315-nucleotide unclassified non-coding RNA is filed under the name Homo sapiens (human). Its description in RNAcentral is "cortactin (ENSG00000288401.1)". Lineage: Eukaryota; Metazoa; Chordata; Mammalia; Primates; Hominidae. The record is from RNAcentral.
AAAAAGCAAGAGAACAAACUGCGAUUGAGCCUCUUUUUAGCGCUCAGUAGAGCAGGCGCACAGGAAGCAGAUGAGAAUAAGCCCGUGCUGACUACUCCAAAGGAUUCGGCGGGAAGUAUGGGGUGCAGAAGGAUCGGAUGGAUAAGAAUGCGUCAACCUUUGAGGAUGUCACCCAGGUGUCCUCUGCCUACCAGAAGACAGUACCUGUCGAAGCUGUGACCAGCAAAACAAGUAACAUCAGAGCUAACUUUGAAAACCUCGCUAAGGAGAAAGAGCAGGAGGACAGGCGGAAGGCGGAGGCGGAGAGAGCCCAGCGGAUGGCCAAGGAGCGGCAGGAGCAGGAAGAGGCCAGGAGGAAGCUGGAGGAGCAAGCCAGAGCCAAAACGCAAACGCCCCCUGUGUCGCCCGCACCUCAGCCAACCGAGGAGAGGCUGCCCUCGAGCCCCGUCUAUGAGGAUGCGGCUUCCUUCAAGGCAGAGCUGAGCUACAGAGGCCCUGUGAGUGGGACGGAGCCGGAGCCCGUGUACAGCAUGGAGGCCGCUGACUACCGAGAGGCCAGCAGCCAGCAGGGCCUGGCCUAUGCCACAGAGGCUGUCUAUGAAAGCGCAGAGGCCCCGGGCCACUAUCCCGCAGAGGACAGCACCUACGAUGAGUACGAGAACGAUCUGGGGAUCACAGCCGUCGCCCUGUACGACUACCAGGCUGCGGGCGAUGAUGAGAUCUCAUUUGACCCUGAUGACAUCAUCACCAACAUCGAGAUGAUUGACGACGGCUGGUGGCGCGGGGUGUGCAAGGGCCGCUUCAGGGAGCUCGCAUUCUCUUGUGUUCGUGUUGCCCUCGUGCCCAUCAAGUGCAGUCGGGACCUCCCAGGACAAGCACGAGGCCUCAGGUCGGCCCUGUGGCGGGUAGGCAGGAAGGACUGUCCCAGACGAGGGGCUUCCUCUAGAGUCUCACUGCUGGGGAGGAGAGGACUGGGCCUGAUGGAAGUUAACCCGGAGCUAAGUCACCCAGAGCACAGGAGCUGCCAUGUCAGAUGGGAAAUCUGCCUAUGUCAUACCGUGACAGCCCGCAGGAUCAGGUGACUUCUAGCAGAGACCCUGGUUUUUUUCCUGUGCCCACUCCGGCUUGUCCUCAUCUCUACCCAUCCCCUGAUGCCCAGGUCACCGGGAGGGCUGCUGGGAGCCUCUCCUGUCCCCGCCGGGCAGUGUCACUGAGUCCUUGAAAUCCUCCCCUGCCCCGCGGGUCUCUGGAUUGGGACGCACAGUGCAGUUGAGGUCUGCGUCGGGCUUGGCUUUUCACAAAGGCUGAUGUCUUA